GAUGAAGAACGUAGCGAAAUGCGAUAAGUAAUGUGAAUUGCAGAAUUCCGUGAAUCAUCGAAUCUUUGAACGCACAUUGCGCCCCCUGGUAUUCCGGGGGGCAUGCCUGUCCGAGCGUCAUUGCAACCUUCAAGCGCGGCUUGUGUGUUGGGUCUCGUCCCCCGUGGACGGGCCCGAAAGGCAGUGGCGGCGUCCCGACAUGGUGCCCGAGCGUAUGGGAAUCCUCUUCCGCUCGAAUCGGCCCACGCGGCGCUGGUCGUAACCAAAUUUUUUACCGGUUGACCUCGGAUCAGGUAGGGAUACCCGCUGAACUUAAGCAUAUCAAUAAGCGGAGGA
Molecule: unclassified non-coding RNA, 336 nt
Filed under: soil metagenome
Description: partial contains 5.8S ribosomal RNA, internal transcribed spacer 2, and large subunit ribosomal RNA
Rfam family: 5.8S ribosomal RNA (bases 1-120)
Source: RNAcentral